GACAAAUCUCCGCAUUGAGGGUCAAACAGGAUCUGGCUUUACUGUGGGCUACCUGCCCGUAUUUAUGCAGGUCUCCAACUUGGUGGACACUCCCCUAGGGGACCAAAUGGGAGACUGGAAUUACAGAUGGACAUGAGGGCAUAACAGACAUACAGUCACAAGCUUUUCCCACAAUGCAGUAUGUUUUCCUCCCCUCUGCCCUGGAGAUAAUUGGGAAGUAAUUUAAUUAUCUCCAGGACAAAGACACAUCGCCA
Pelobates cultripes (western spadefoot toad) is the source of this 254-nucleotide non-coding RNA. NCBI's taxonomy places the organism in Eukaryota, Metazoa, Chordata, Amphibia, Anura, Pelobatidae. The record is from the annotation of a GenBank genome assembly.